CUCUCUUCUCCUGCUUCGAAAUUAGCGAGGUAGAAUGCUUGGGCUAAUUAUGCAUUCAAACGAGCAGGCUUCGUUAAUGUGGCACUAAGAGGAGCCUGAAAAUGAUUGUGAGACGAUGAAAUUGAAAUUCGAGCGCGGCACUUCCAAUGCAUCUGGAGUCACUCUUGCGUGCCCCAGCAGAUGCAGCCAGCAGUGACCGGCGGCCCCACGGCCAGGCACUCUGCCCCAGGGCUGCGGGGGCUGCCAGCCACAUCCUGGGGGUGCACGGGGUCGGGGUGGUGCGCAGAGCAGAGCACAAAGCAGAAUGGGAAUGUGGCGGCCACUGCGGAGCAUCCCCAGGACGUGGGGUAGGUGCAUCCCUUGGGCAGCGGCGGUGCUUUGUGGUGCUGCCCUCCGUGCUGCUGCAGUCCUCCUUGCCGGGUCGUAUCCAUGCUCCCAUAGCAGCUGUGUGUGGCAGUGCUCCGUGUGUGGCUGGGUGGGGAGCAUCCUCUGCCUGGAUGUGCUGCUGGGGAUGCUGAGACCCGAGGAGUGGCUCCUGUUCCUGUCACCCAGGUUGGGUGCCCAGCUGUUGGCACAGCCUGGCAAGGAGCAGACCCCCAUGGCACAUCCAUCGCCCGGCACGGUCCAUGCUGUUGGCUGCUGCUGUCUAGAGGAGACACAAGCCCAAGUCCUGGGUCAGUACCCAAAGGGCUGCAGCAGGAUGGUGGCACGGCAGCACCCGGGCCGGGCCGGGGCUGCUCCAUCCAGCAUGGGGCUGAGGAUCUGCGGAGCAAAAAGCAGAGAGAAGGAUCAGAGCGACAAAGAAUAGAGCAGUGUUCUGUGCCACAUGGGAUGAGCAUCCAUGGGCAGUGAGAGACACAGGGGAUGCCACCAGCCCGUCACCACCCGGCCGUGGCUCAGUGCUGGGCACUGGGGAUGGGGAGCAGCAGGAGAUGCUCCUUUGGGGAGAUUGCAAUGGCACAGUUGGGUCCAGAGGGAUGCUGAGCACACUGAGGGAUGCUGAGUGCUCCUGAGGACAGCUCUACGGGGGAGCUGCAGAGCUCAGAGCAGCUCACUGCUGGGUACCAGGCUGUGCUGCCGGGGCCGAGGGCACACCACAGGCACCAGGUUCUGCUCUGUGGCACACCGGGGUCCGGGCUGGUGUGGGAGGGGGCUGUUUUCCCCCUCUCCCUGGUAAUUUUUCCCUCUGACUAUGAUGCAUAGCGGUGCUAAUUCGGCACGUUGCCAUUAAUUCCAGCACAGCUGCCGCUCUCUCCCUCAAGGCAUUUCGCUAAUACUCAGCUUCAGAGCCUCUCAGCAAAUUAACAUCAUUUGUUCUGCAGAACAUGUUUUAUUUCUACACUACAUGCAUAGCUUAUUACUCAGCGACCAACUCGGGGGGCGCGGGGAGGCAGCGCUGCUGGGCGCGUCCCCACCUCGCCGUGUCAUCCCUGGUGGUGGCCCCGUGCCACCCAACCCACCCUGCCGUGCUCCCCUCUGGCUGCAGCUGUGUGGAUUUCCUCCCAGCACCGGGAUGCUCCGGCCCCAGGGUGCUCCUGUGCCCCGGGUCCAGUCCAGUGUGACUGCAGCCACAAUUACUGCACUGCUUACAGCCCCGCCUGGGCACUGACAGACAGAGGGACAGACCUGAAGCUGAUUAACACCCCUGGAGCUGGACCCCUGGUUCAUUACCUCCAGACUGUGGAUGGAGAGGCCCUGGCUCACUAUCUACUGCGCAGGAGGGAUGUGGUGCUGGGGGGAGCCCUGCAGUGGCAGCACCCAUGGGAUGGCAGUGGCCACGGGCUGGAGGCGAAGCACUGACUGCAUGGCCCUGUAUGGGGCAGGGCAUCCCGAUGAACCCCAGCCGGUGCUGGUGAUAAUAUCAGGUCUUUCGCUUUGAUUAAGGUUAUUUAAGCUUUUUACUGAAACAUAAAACCUGAUUGUUUGCAUAAACAACCUAAUUGGAUUAUAGUGCACGGCAUCGCUAAUGCUGCGGGCUGGCGGGGAGCUGCAGGGCAGGGGAGGCCUCUGGCUCUGACACUUCGCCACCAUUCUGCUGCCACACCACGUGCCACACGGGGACCCGGAGCUGUCACCUCCACUGGGGAGGCUGCUGUCCCUAUGGCAGAGCCUCGGGUGGACGAUGCCUCGCUGCAAGGUCCCAGGAGAGCAGGGACAAAGUUCCUGUGCUGGCAUCGCCCACACAGCUCGAAGAGGAGGAGGAUGAGCACAGAGGGACGAAGCACGCUGAGCUGCAGUGAGCGGCAGAGCGCUGCCUGCCCAGGGCUUCCACGGCUGGGAGCUGCCGAAGGCUUUCAUGGCAAGCAAAGCGGCGAGGCUGCAUGAAUAUUUCAUUAGGAAAGCAAUGUGGUGUGCUGCAGAGAACAUCUGGCUGGAGUCCCCGGAGACCCCCGGCUUGUGCAGGAAGCAGGAACUGUGAAAUAUGGAGGAAAACGAGGGAGAGGGGGGCGC
Gallus gallus (chicken) is the source of this 2451-nucleotide long non-coding RNA. The record is from Ensembl. Lineage: Eukaryota; Metazoa; Chordata; Aves; Galliformes; Phasianidae.